AUGGCGCGAAAAGGGGGUCAAAGUAAAAGUGGUCCGAAUCUUGCUUCACCUAAUCGGCAAAAUACAACUAAUGGUGAUAUACUAAAUACACCAGAAAGAGAUCCAGUGCAUGGUGAAGAUCCAAGUUCACAUCUUCAAGGUAAAUCAAAUGGUUCUGGAGGGAACACUGGCCAGAAAACAAAAAGCAACAAGAAGAAUAACAAAAGCAAUGGCACCUCCUUUGGUAAAUCUGAUGACAUAACUUCACAUAAACAACAACCAGAAGAUAUCAGUACUGAUAUGCAAAAUUCAGAAGAACCUGGGCCACCUUUCAGCAGUACCAGACCAAGAAGAGAUGGCAAGAAAUCCUCACGGCGUGGCUUUGGUAAAAACUCAUCAGUAGAACAAACCCCAUUGCGUAUUUUGACAGAGCAAGUCAAAGAGAAGACCAGGCAUGUUACUUCCAUGGCUGCAUCCUUUUUUAGAACCUCGAUGAUGUAUGUGAUGGAAGAAAGCAAAGUAUUGGUUGAGAAAAAUAGGCCAGCUAUCACAGCUUUCAUGGCAAUGGCGGAAAAAGGGCGUGCCUAUGCCCUCGGCAAAAUGGAGUAUGUUUAUCCUAUUGCUCGGGCCUGGAUGUUUAGUGCUGGAAAGCUGAUGUUGCUCUUGUUGACUGUUUGGUUAGACUGCAACAUAAGGGGCUUCGAUUCUCUGCUUCGUCUGGGGACAAAUUCCCUUAUUGCAGUACUUUGGUGCAGCAUGUUGUCAAUUUUUGCAAUGAUUGGGAUAAAGAAAAUGCUCAUGUUCAUGGUGAUUGCUGCUUCUGUGGUUGCUUUUAUUGGUAUUGGUUUUGCUGUCCUGAUUGUCGCGGUGCUUGCAGUGGUGAUUUUAUGGCUGUAUGGAAGCUUUUGGACAACAAGCACUGUAGUAAUUGUUGGAGGUGCUUCCUUUUUGUUGAAGCAUGAACGAUUUGCUCUGCUUGUCACCUGCCUAUAUUCAAUGUAUUGUGCAAGAAGCUACAUUGGAUGGCUUGGAUUACUUUUGAGCCUGAAUUUGUCUUUCUUUUCAACUGAUGUUCUAGUCCAGUUCCUGAAGAAAAAUGUAGACAAUGAAAAUGGUUCUUCAAGGAACUCUGAUCAAAAUUCAGACAGAUCAAGCAAUUUCUUUGGGGAAUUUCAGCAAUCAUCAAAAGACAGCAGCUCACAUUCUGGAUAUACUCAACCUUCUAAUCGUGGCCCUGGUGAUCCGUCAACAAGUGGAGCUGAGGAGUUAACCUCUGAAGAUGAAGUGGCACGUUUAUUGAAUUGCGCCGAUCACUAUUCGGCAUUUGGAUUUCGCCUGUAUGAAAUCAUAGAUGUAUCAGUACUCAAGAGAGAAUACAAGAAAAAGGCUAUGUUAGUCCAUCCUGAUAAGAAUAUGGGCAAUGAUAAAGCUGCUGAUGCAUUUAAAAAGCUUCAAAACGCAUAUGAGGUUCUUCUUGAUUCAGUGAAACGAAAGACAUAUGACGAUGAGUUAAGGAGGGAGGAGCUACUGAACUACUUCAGGCGGUUCCAGGGUGCUUCUCAAAAGAAAGGAGGACAUGGUACAUUCCAACAAGGGUUUAGCCCCUCUGAAGGUGUUGAUGAAGGACCUUCUGCUCUAUCGAGAAGAAUAGCCUGCAAGAAAUGUGGCGAUUUCCAUCUGUGGAUUUAUACAGGAAGACCUAAGUUGCAGGGCAGAUGGUGUCAGGAUUGUAAAGAGUUUCAUCAGGCUAAAGAUGGUGAUGGAUGGGUUGAGCAGUCAUUUCAACCGGUCCUAUUUGGGAUGCUGCACAAGCCCGAUCUGCCUCGUGCAUUUGUUUGUGCUGAAAGCAGCAUUUUUGAUGUCACCGAGUGGUUCAGCUGUCAGGGAAUGAGAUGCCCACCGAACACGCACAAGCCGACCUUCCACGUGAAUGCCAGCUUGGCAAAGCAAGGUAGUGGCAAAGGGAGCACCUCAGGGCCAAGGGGUGGAAUCCCGAACAUGGAUGCAGGAGUCGAUGAGGAGUUCUUUGAGUGGCUGCAGAACGCUAUGCAGUCUGGCAUGUUUGAGGCGCAAGGCGACCCCCCUUCUCCAGGCAGCGGAACCCAUGCAAAGAGUAGUGGUGGUGGUGGCGGCGGCGGUAGUAGUAACAGGAAAAAGAGGAAGGGCAAGAAGCAGUGGUAA
This 2160-nucleotide ribosomal RNA is filed under the name Triticum aestivum (bread wheat). RNAcentral's name for it is "partial small subunit ribosomal RNA". Lineage: Eukaryota; Viridiplantae; Streptophyta; Magnoliopsida; Poales; Poaceae. The record is from RNAcentral.